CUAUCUUUGUUGCGCAUUGGUUCGCGACCCUCACCUUUAUGACCCGAGGUUAGCGAUUAAAAGGGAAUCAGGUGUAAAUCCUGAACAGUCCCGCUGCUGUAAUUUCCAUAUCAAACGUUACAGGCACUUACUUUUGCCACUGGAGUAUACAUACCUCCGGGAAGGCGCCUGAAACAGGAACGAGUCAGAAGACCUACCAUGCUACCUAUUUCACA
RNAcentral lists this non-coding RNA (215 nucleotides) under Bacteroides reticulotermitis. Lineage: Bacteria; Pseudomonadati; Bacteroidota; Bacteroidia; Bacteroidales; Bacteroidaceae. The record is from RNAcentral.